RNAcentral lists this long non-coding RNA (565 nucleotides) under Elaeis guineensis (African oil palm). RNAcentral describes it as "long non-coding RNA (EGUI_LNC023596)". The record is from RNAcentral. Lineage: Eukaryota; Viridiplantae; Streptophyta; Magnoliopsida; Arecales; Arecaceae.
UCAAAUAUAGUGAUAUGUGGAUAGGGGGGCAAAAAAACUGUUUUCAUAAGUUUAAAAAAAUAAUUGCUCCAUUGUCCGACCAUCCAGCAAAUUUUUCUCCUGAGAUUUUAAGUCAGUAAUUUUGACAUUUACCAAGACAUGGUCAAAGAUACAGAUUUCACAACAGAUCAAUUGAACUUUGUUUGCUAGCCCGAAUCUGAUUGUAUGACCAGUCUUAGCAGCAGGCAUGCAUAUAGGAGAGAGCUGAUGCUAGUAAGAUAAAAUUUGCCCCCACCAUACAGUUCUUUCCAUUUUCCAUCCAUACAUCCACCUACACCCAUGCAUCGACCAAUAUUAACUGAUACAAUUUCUGUUUCCCCACCUAAAGAACUCAACUCUUGACCAUAAUUGUUCGAUACAAUGAUGACAAUCAAUAUGCAAGCAAAUUUUAAAACAAAAAAAGAUAAUAAUCCUAUAACAAGGAUACAUCAUCGAAUGAAAACAUGGGGUCAAUCGACUUCUGUCCUCCAAAUUAACUGCCUUCGAAAAAGAUAGCACCCAUAUAGUAAGUUCCAUUUAACAAAUC